AUUGUGAUGUCACAAUGGAGCAGCUUUGAUUCUCUUUCCUCUGAACACUAGAGAGGCCAUGUCAAAGCUAGACCCUGGGAGUCCAAGCACCUCUGCAAAUCCACUUCUCACAAACAUGAUAAUUAUGAUGAAAGGGAAGCUGAGACUCUAAGAAGUAAAAUGAAUUAUUCAAUCAGUUCAGGCCACAGCUCGGCCAAUGCUCUUUCUAGGAAACCAUGCUUGAAGAAAAUGCUUUCCAUGGAGAAUUUGUGUAAGAACAUAGUUACAAAAAUAAAAAAGGAGCCAUUAAACUUCAUUAAAUUCCUGAGGGUUCUGAAUCCUUGCUGCUUGACUGAUGCAAGCACAUGUAGGAAGGUGGCCUGGGAAGGGAUGGUGGAGUGAACGAACUGAGAG
This 393-nucleotide long non-coding RNA is filed under the name Homo sapiens (human). Its description in RNAcentral is "HSALNT0394090". The record is from RNAcentral. Lineage: Eukaryota; Metazoa; Chordata; Mammalia; Primates; Hominidae.